GAUGAACGCUGGCGGCGUGCCUAAUACAUGCAAGUCGAGCGAAGCGGGGACGGGUGAGUAACACGUAGAUAACCUCCUAUAAGACUGGGGUAACUUCGGGAAACCGGAGCUAAACCGGAUACUUGUUGGUGGAUCCGCGCUGCAUUAGCUAGUUGGUAAGGUAACGGCGUACCAAGGCCACGAUGGAUAGCCGACCUGAGAGGGAGAUUGGCCAACCUGGAACUGAGACACGGCCCAGACUCCGAAGGGAGGCAGCAGUAGGGAAUCUUACGCAAUGGGGGAAAGCCUGACGGAGCAACGCCGCGUGAGUGAUGAAGGUCUUCGGAUCGGAAAACUCUGUUAUUAGUGAAGCGGUACCUAAUCAGAAAGCCACGGCUAACUACGUGCCAGCAGCCGCGGUAAUAC
Molecule: ribosomal RNA, 405 nt
Filed under: uncultured bacterium
Lineage: Bacteria
Description: partial 16S ribosomal RNA
Rfam family: Bacterial small subunit ribosomal RNA
Source: RNAcentral